This 497-nucleotide ribosomal RNA is filed under the name uncultured bacterium. RNAcentral describes it as "partial 16S ribosomal RNA". It matches the Rfam family "Bacterial small subunit ribosomal RNA", at positions 28 to 507 of the family's 1533-position model. The record is from RNAcentral.
GAUGAACGCUGGCGGCGUGCCUAAUACAUGCAAGUCGAGCGAACGGACGAGAAGCUUGCUUCUCUGAUGUUAGCGGCGGACGGGUGAGUAACACGUGGAUAACCUACCUAUAAGACUGGGAUAACUUCGGGAAACCGGAGCUAAUACCGGAUAAUAUUUUGAACCGCAUGGUUCAAAAGUGAAAGACGGUCUUGCUGUCACUUAUAGAUGGAUCCGCGCUGCAUUAGCUAGUUGGUAAGGUAACGGCUUACCAAGGCAACGAUGCAUAGCCGACCUGAGAGGGUGAUAGGCCACACUGGAACUGAGCCACGGUCCAGACUCCUACGGGAGGCAGCAGUAGGGAAUCUUCCGCAAUGGGCGAAAGCCUGACGGAGCAACGCCGCGUGAGUGAUGAAGGUCUUCGGAUCGUAAAACUCUGUUAUUAGGUAAGAACAUAUGUGUAAGUAACUGUGCACAUCUUGACGGUACCUAAUCAGAAAGCCACGGCUAACUACGUG